UAGUUGCCUGUUGGAACUCUAAAAAGACUGCCGGUUAUAAACCGGAGGAAGGCGGGGAUGACGUCAAGUCAGCAUGCCCCUUACACCCUGGGCUACACACGUGCUACAAUGGGCGAGACAAUAAGUUGCGAAUCUGUGAAGACCAGCUAAUCUCUAAACUCGUUCUAAGUUCGGAUUGCAGGCUGCAACUCGCCUGCAUGAAGUUGGAAUCGCUAGUAAUCGCUGGUCAGCCAUACAGCGGUGAAUUCGUUCCCGGGCCUUGUACACACCGCCCGUCACACCAUGGAAGCUGGUUACGCCCGAAGUCAUUACUCUAACCUUUAUGGAGGAGGAUGCCUAAGGCAGAAUUAGUGACUGGGGUGAAGUCGUAACAGGUAGCCAGGGCGAUUCCAGCACGCUGCGGCCGUACUAGUG
RNAcentral lists this ribosomal RNA (414 nucleotides) under uncultured bacterium. Its description in RNAcentral is "bacterial SSU rRNA". It matches the Rfam family "Bacterial small subunit ribosomal RNA", at positions 1112 to 1533 of the family's 1533-position model. The record is from RNAcentral.